AUGGAAUUGAGUUUGUCUCAUACGUUUCAUCUUUUUAAUAUCUUUCGUGAGUAUGAUGGAAAGAAAAAUUGUGCCAAAGUGUUAGAAGAAGAAUGCAUUAAAUUGUUUGGCACUAAAUAUGUGAAUGAUGAGCAUGAUUGCAAUUUUGUUAGUACGAAUUCUUUGAAUAUCCAUGAUGCUAGUGAUGAUUGCACUAGUUAUGAUGAAAAUGCCUCCUAUAAACAUGUCAAUUUUUGUGGAGUGCAUUGGGUUUGCAAGUACGCACCAAAUAGGGAAGAUAGAUAUUGCGAGAGGCAUAAGUAUUUAGAAACUAAAUUGUUGCAAGAAAGUCUUGAUGUGAGUGCUGAAAAUUUAAAAUAUCUUUACCGUACUUGUGAACUUUGCAAUGAACAUGGUCAUUUAAAUAUCAAAUGCAAAUUGUUUCAUGAUCGAAUUGUGUCCAAAAAUUGUGAUGACCUGAUUUCCCUUGUGCAUUAUAAUGAACUAAGUUUGCUUUUGGGUUAUGAAGAAUUGAAGCGUCAAACUAAGCAUAUUCCAGAAUAUAACCUCAAGAAAUUCCUCGAUAUUGAUCUGGAAGAGAUUUAUAUGUAUUGUGCGGUGAAUUGCAUUGAAAAUCCUUAUAUUGCCAAUUACAUAAAGAAAAGAAAAGAAAUAGAAGAUGAAUAG
This 666-nucleotide ribosomal RNA is filed under the name Triticum aestivum (bread wheat). RNAcentral describes it as "partial small subunit ribosomal RNA". The record is from RNAcentral. Lineage: Eukaryota; Viridiplantae; Streptophyta; Magnoliopsida; Poales; Poaceae.